UAAAUCUUUAUUAAAGCACUGGAUAAAUAUUAUGUUAUUAUUCAUUAUUUGGAUUUAACUAGGUGGCUCAGUGGAUAGAGAGCCAGCCAUGGAGAAGGGAAGUCCUGGCUUCUGGUCUCAAACACUUCCUGGUGGUGUGACCCUGGACAAGUCACUUGACUCCCAUUGCCUAGUCCUUACUCACCUUCUGCCUUGGAACUAAUAUGCAGUAUUGAUUCUUAGAUGGAAGUUCUUGGCUGUCUGUAGGAACAAUCUCAAAAUCUUCACUUUCCUUUGUGCUACCCAAAACAGCCUCGGAACCAGUGUGUACAUUCUUUGUAGGAAGCAUUUUGUUUUUGAAAUUUCAACUGGUUCUAAUCAAGGUCUCCAUUUGGGGCUUACUCCUCUGUGUAGCCAUGAGGUCUUCUUUUACCACUUUUAAAGAGUCAAGACAUCAUCCAGGACUUUAA
RNAcentral lists this long non-coding RNA (449 nucleotides) under Monodelphis domestica (gray short-tailed opossum). Its description in RNAcentral is "lncRNA (ENSMODG00000031371.2)". The record is from RNAcentral. Lineage: Eukaryota; Metazoa; Chordata; Mammalia; Didelphimorphia; Didelphidae.